UCGGACAAUAUCACUGGAU
RNAcentral lists this microRNA (19 nucleotides) under Caenorhabditis elegans. RNAcentral's name for it is "cel-miR-8199-5p". The record is from miRBase by way of RNAcentral. Lineage: Eukaryota; Metazoa; Nematoda; Chromadorea; Rhabditida; Rhabditidae.